UUUGCCAACUGACGGAGCCCGUUCUUCAGUCUCCUCUAAGUUGUUGACAGCCCAGCUAAAGGAACAGAAGCUUCAGACUAGUAUUCCUGAGAAUAACAGCAGGAAAUCCAUUGAACAACACUGGCUCAACAUUUGAGAAUGAUGGAGUCAAUGGCAAGUAUUGCUCCAAGUGCCGGCUCAACUACAGCAAUAGGACUUGAAGAUGAUGCCAACAACUUUUCCAUGGUCCAAAGGGGAUUGGACAUACAUGAUGAAGAUUGUUUCAACACACCAAAAAGAACCAGUAGCCUCCCCGCGUGUGGGUCAACUUAUGAGCCUGAGUGUGAUGAUAGCCUACAACCCUCAAUUGGCAUGCGAUUUGAUAGCUGGGAGGCAGGUUUAGCAUUCUAUAGAAUGUAUGCCCAUGAGGUUGGCUUCUCUGUACGCAUAUGGACACAACACAAAGGAGAGGGUGGUGUAAUAAUUUGGAAGAAGUUUGUUUGUGCAAGAGAAGGUUGGAGGAAGGAAAAGUCAGUGGAAAUUGCCCAAGAUACUCAGGAAAUGCAGAGAAAAAUGGUUAAAAGAAAUAUCAAGAUAACCAGAUGCGGUUGUGAGGCUAUGAUCAGAUUGAAGAGGCAAGUUGAUGGCAAGUAUGAGGUCGUCCAGUUUGUUCAAUCACACACGCACCAACUUAUCUCACCAAGUAAGAGACAUCUCAUCCGGUCAAAUAGAGAGGUAACUAGUGAUUUGAGAAACAAACUAUUUACAUGCAGUAUGGCAUUGCUUGGCACAUCAAAAACUUAUCGCGUGCUUACUAUUGAGAAAGGUGGGCCAGGGAACAUAGGUUGCACGAAACGUGACUUACAAAACUAUGACCAUGAUUUUAGGGCAGCAAUUAAGGGAGCAGAUGGACAACUUAUAGUAGAUAUAAUGGAAAAUAAAAAGAAGGCCAAUCCAGCAUUCUAUUUUGAUUACCUGGUAGAGGAGAACAAUAAACUGACAAAUAUUUUCUGGGCAGAUAGUAUAUGUAGAAAGAACUACUCAUUGUUUGGUGAUGUUGUGUCAUUCGACUCUACAUAUAGAUUCAACAAGUAUGACCUGGUAUUUACCCCUUUUACUGGAGUUAACCAUCAUAAAUCUUGUGUUACAUUUGGUGCUGCUUUUUUGUCAAAUGAGAAGAUUGCAUCAUACAAAUGGUUAUUCCAGACUUUCUUGAAAGCAAUGUGUGGGGUUGCACCAAAGCUAAUCAUAACUGAGCUGCAAGAGGACAAUUCUAGCGACUCAAGACACUUCACAACAUCCAGCUUUCCUUGAUUGAAUUUUGGGUCAGAUUUGAAACGGCUUUGGAAGAGCAGCGGCAAAAAGAGCUGCAAGAGGACAAUUCUAGCAUACAUACCUUGCCUGUACUUGAAACUUGUUGGGGAAUUGAGAUUCAUGGCAGAGAUGUGUACACUCACAACAUUUUUGUUGCUUUCCAACGUGAGGUGGUGGCUGCUAGGGAUCGUCGUCAUGUAAAAACUAUUGAGCACGUUGGCGAUGUCCGAACCACGAGCAUUGCUGACCUUAGCGGCAGGAUAAGAGUAGUCUGCUACAACACUAGUACGAAGGCUGCACAAUGUACUUGCCGAAUGUUUGAAUCAUUGGGCAUCCUGUGCUCUCACAUCAUUGUUGUUCUAAAGAAUGAUGGAUGUAAUGAAAUUCCUAGCCAAUAUGUGUUGCAUAGGUGGUCUAAAAUGGCUGCACGACAUCUUUCUCAUGAUGCUAAUGGACAUGAGCUAGAAGGGUCAUCUACAUCUCUUUCACCUACCAUCAAGAAACUGUACUCAGAAACAUGCUCGAUGUUCAGCUCGGCAUUGCAUACAGCUAAGCAUUGUGAGGACAAGAUGAAAUACUUUCACAAAGUUCUUUCUAAUGCUCUUGCGCACUUAGACGCAGACGGUGCCGCUUGACGAGCAAAAUAAAGUUCAAGAGUUUGAAUCCUUCAUUGGAACGACAUUCCCAAGCAUCAUCAAUAUUCAUCCAUCGGAAGUUGCAAACACAAAGGGCAGUGGUAAGAGAUUGAAGAGGGGUUCAGAGGAGGCCAUGAACAAAAGGAAAAGGUAAAUUAGAUUGUAAGUAAUAUGUAUUUUAUUAGGUUUUCGUGGAUUGCAGCUAAGGGUUUUUCCUUCUUUGCAGAGGAAGUAGUGUUCAGAAAGGUCCAAGGUCUAUAGAUUGUUCUAUUUAUCAGCACACCCAGCCCAUGGGAGCGGAUAUCAUUCAUCUGGCGCUAAAUCAUGAAUGAGAAAUGCCUUCUGUUCAUGUGCUAUCCAAUGUUGGAGGCUUCUGCUACAACUUCAACACCUAGUUCAAUAUGUUGGUGCAAUAAGUGUACCUGCUACCUCAUUGGGCUAUGAAUCACAUCUGAGUUGCAACUCUAGUUAUGCGCUUCAUAGUAGAUUUUAUGUGUACUGUCAUUAGUGCUGCUGAGAAAGCAUUCAUGAUAUUUUGUAUAAAAAGGUGUGUAAGAGCAUAAUUGUUGUACU
This is an RNA transcript of Triticum aestivum (bread wheat), 2501 nucleotides long. It is a transcript of the gene named protein FAR1-RELATED SEQUENCE 5, with no coding region annotated. The transcript has 5 exons. The record is from RefSeq and is a predicted model, not a curated record. Lineage: Eukaryota; Viridiplantae; Streptophyta; Magnoliopsida; Poales; Poaceae.